CCCGGUCGGUGCGGGCCGGGUAAUCGCCUGAUCGCGAACAGGUUAGGGAAUCCGGUAGGUGACGAUCCGGAGCUGCCCCCGCAACUGUGACCGGCGAGCCCUUCGCUCCCACGUGCGCCACUGGAUCGUUCGCGGUCCGGGAAGGCCGGGCGAAGGGUGGCGACCCGGAAGCCAGGAAACCUGCCUGAUCGCGGUUGUCCUU
This is a non-coding RNA of Sphingomonas sp. Leaf231, 202 nucleotides long. NCBI's taxonomy places the organism in Bacteria, Pseudomonadati, Pseudomonadota, Alphaproteobacteria, Sphingomonadales, Sphingomonadaceae. The record is from Rfam.